UGGGGAAUUUUGGACAAUGGGCGAAAGCCUGAUCCAGCAAUGCCGCGUGUGUGAAGAAGGCCUUCGGGUUGUAAAGCACUUUUGUCCGGAAAGAAAUCCUUGGCUCUAAUACAGCCGGGGGAUGACGGUACCGGAAGAAUAAGCACCGGCUAACUACGUGCCAGCAGCCGCGGUAAUACGUAGGGUGCAAGCGUUAAUCGGAAUUACUGGGCGUAAAGCGUGCGCAGGCGGUUUGCUAAGACCGAUGUGAAAUCCCCGGGCUCAACCUGGGAACUGCAUUGGUGACUGGCAGGCUAGAGUAUGGCAGAGGGGGGUAGAAUUCCACGUGUAGCAGUGAAAUGCGUAGAGAUGUGGAGGAAUACCGAUGGCGAAGGCAGCCCCCUGGGCCAAUACUGACGCUCAUGCACGAAAGCGUGGGGAGCAAACAGGAUUAGAUACCCUGGUAGUCCACGCCCUAAACGAUGUCAACUAGUUGUUGGGGAUUCAUUCCUUAGUAACGUAGCUAACGCGUGAAGUUGACCGCCUGGGGAGUACGGUCGCAAGAUUAAAACUCAAAGGAAUUGAC
Molecule: ribosomal RNA, 565 nt
Filed under: uncultured bacterium
Lineage: Bacteria
Description: partial 16S ribosomal RNA
Rfam family: Bacterial small subunit ribosomal RNA
Source: RNAcentral